Molecule: ribosomal RNA, 421 nt
Filed under: uncultured bacterium
Lineage: Bacteria
Description: partial 16S ribosomal RNA
Rfam family: Bacterial small subunit ribosomal RNA
Source: RNAcentral
AAUAUUGGACAAUGGUGGCAACCCUAAUCCAGCCAUUCCGCGUGUGUGAAGAAGGUCUUCGGAUUGUAAAGCACUUUAAGUUGGGAGGAAGGGCUUUAGGUUAAUACACUGAAGUUUUUACGUUACCAACAGAAUAAGCACAGGCUAACUCUGUUCCAGCAGCCUCGGUAAAACAGAGGGUUCAAGCGUUAAUCGGAAUUACUGGGCGUAAAGCGCGCGUAGGUGGUUCAGUAAAAUGGGUGUGAAAUCCCCGGGCUUAACCUGGGAACUGCUUUCAUAACUGCUGAGCUAGAGUACGGUAGAGGGUAGUGGAAUUUCCUGUGUAGCGGUGAAAUGCGUAGAUAUAGGAAGGAACACCAGUGGCGAAGGCGACUACCUGGACUGAUACUGACACUGAGGUGCGAAAGCGUGGGGAGCAAAC